GUCCAACCUCCCACCCGUGUUUAUUGUACCUUGUUGCUUCGGUGCGCCCGCCUCACGGCCGCCGGGGGGCUUCUGCCCCCGGGUCCGCGCGCACCGGAGACACUAUUGAACUCUGUCUGAAGAUUGCAGUCUGAGCAUAAACUAAAUAAGUUAAAACUUUCAACAACGGAUCUCUUGGUUCCGGCAUCGAUGAAGAACGCAGCGAAAUGCGAUAACUAAUGUGAAUUGCAGAAUUCAGUGAAUCAUCGAGUCUUUGAACGCACAUUGCGCCCCCUGGUAUUCCGGGGGGCAUGCCUGUCCGAGCGUCAUUGCUGCCCUCAAGCACGGCUUGUGUGUUGGGCUCCGUCCCCCCGGGGACGGGUCCGAAAGGCAGCGGCGGCACCGAGUCCGGUCCUCGAGCGUAUGGGGCUUUGUCACCCGCUCUGUAGGCCCGGCCGGCGCCAGCCGACAACCAAUCAUCCUUUUUUCAGGUUGACCUCGGAUCAGGUAGGGAUACCCGCUGAACUUAAGCAUAUCAAUAAUUGGAGAA
RNAcentral lists this ribosomal RNA (529 nucleotides) under Penicillium glabrum. Its description in RNAcentral is "eukaryotic LSU rRNA". The stretch from base 155 to 308 matches the Rfam family "5.8S ribosomal RNA". Lineage: Eukaryota; Fungi; Ascomycota; Eurotiomycetes; Eurotiales; Aspergillaceae. The record is from RNAcentral.